RNAcentral lists this ribosomal RNA (301 nucleotides) under uncultured bacterium. RNAcentral's name for it is "partial 16S ribosomal RNA". It matches the Rfam family "Bacterial small subunit ribosomal RNA", at positions 509 to 807 of the family's 1533-position model. The record is from RNAcentral.
CAGUAGCCGCGGGAAUACGGAGGGUGCGAGCGUUAAUCGGAAUUACUGGGCGUAAAGCGUACGCAGGCGGUUUGUUAAGUCAGAUGUGAAAUCCCCGAGCUUAACUCGGGAACUGCAUUUGAAACUGGCAGGCUAGAGUCUCGUAGAGGGGGGUAGAAUUCCAGGUGUAGCGGUGAAAUGCGUAGAGAUCUGGAGGAAUACCGGUGGCGAAGGCGACUAUCUGGGCCAACACUGACACUGAGACACGAAAGCGUGGGGAGCAAACAGGAUUAGAGACCCCAGUAGUCCCUGUCUCUUAUAC